Molecule: small nuclear RNA, 151 nt
Filed under: Dufourea novaeangliae
Lineage: Eukaryota; Metazoa; Arthropoda; Insecta; Hymenoptera; Halictidae
Description: U1 spliceosomal RNA
Rfam family: U1 spliceosomal RNA
About the family: U1 is a small nuclear RNA (snRNA) component of the spliceosome (involved in pre-mRNA splicing). Its 5' end forms complementary base pairs with the 5' splice junction, thus defining the 5' donor site of an intron. There are significant differences in sequence and secondary structure between metazoan and yeast U1 snRNAs, the latter being much longer (568 nucleotides as compared to 164 nucleotides in human).
Source: Rfam by way of RNAcentral
AUACUAACCUGGCGUAGGGGACACCAUGAUCAACGAGGUGGUUCCCCCGGGCGAGAGGCCACGCGCUGAAGCCUGUAAGUACUCCUAACGAGGGUAUUUGUACGUUAAAUUUUUGAUAGUGUGGGGCUCUUGCGGGUAACGCAGCCCCCAU